Molecule: non-coding RNA, 113 nt
Filed under: [Enterobacter] lignolyticus SCF1
Lineage: Bacteria; Pseudomonadati; Pseudomonadota; Gammaproteobacteria; Enterobacterales; Enterobacteriaceae
Description: Enterobacter cloacae SCF1 OxyS RNA
Rfam family: OxyS RNA
About the family: OxyS is a small untranslated RNA which is induced in response to oxidative stress in Escherichia coli. This novel RNA acts as a global regulator to activate or repress the expression of as many as 40 genes, including the fhlA-encoded transcriptional activator and the rpoS-encoded sigma(s) subunit of RNA polymerase.
Source: Rfam by way of RNAcentral
GAAACAAGGCGGAAUCUCAUUUAACCCCUGAAGUCCAGCCGCGUUCUGAGAGUUUCUCUCAUACCCGAAACAACUAAAGCCAACGUGAACUUUUGCGGACCCCGUGGUCCGCU